GUAGUAAUAGAUAUUUUCUUAAAACUUAAUAAAUUUGGCGGUAUUUUAAUCUGUUUAGAGGAACCUGUUUUUUAAUUGAUAAUCCACAUUGAAUCUUACUUAAUAUUGUUAAAUUUGUAUAUCGUUGUCAUAAGAAUAUUUUUUAAAAAUUAAUAAUUUUCUUUAUAAUUAAUUAAUUAAAAUGUCAAAUCAAGGUGCAGUUUAUAAUUAAGUAAAAAUGGGUUACAAUAAAAUUAUUUUUGGAAUUUAAAUUUUAAUAUUUAAAUAAAAUUGGAUUUAAUAGUAAAUUUAUUAAGAUUAUUAAAUUGAUUAAAGUUCUAAAAUGUGU
This 328-nucleotide ribosomal RNA is filed under the name unidentified. Its description in RNAcentral is "Angazidzia insolita partial 12S ribosomal RNA". The record is from RNAcentral.